Molecule: ribosomal RNA, 502 nt
Filed under: uncultured Porphyromonadaceae bacterium
Lineage: Bacteria; Pseudomonadati; Bacteroidota; Bacteroidia; Bacteroidales; Porphyromonadaceae
Description: bacterial SSU rRNA
Rfam family: Bacterial small subunit ribosomal RNA
Source: RNAcentral
GAUGAACGCUAGCGAUAGGCUUAACACAUGCAAGUCGAGGGGUAGCAGGGGUUUAGUUUACUAAAUCUGCUGACGACCGGCGCACGGGUGAGUAACGCGUAUGCAACUUGCCCUAUACACGGGGAUAGCCCGGCGAAAGUCGGAUUAAUACCCGAUAUUAUUAAUGAGCCGCAUGGUUUAUUAAUGAAAGAUUAAUCGGUAUAGGAUGGGCAUGCGUUCCAUUAGUUAGUUGGUGAGGUAACGGCUCACCAAGACCACGAUGGAUAGGGGAACUGAGAGGUUUAUCCCCCACACUGGAACUGAGACACGGACCAGACCCCUACGGGAGGCAGCAGUGAGGAAUAUUGGUCAAUGGACGAGAGUCUGAACCAGCCAAGUCGCGUGAAGGAAGACUGCCUUAUGGGUUUNUAAACUUCUUUUAUAUAGGAAUAAAGUGCACCAUGUAUGGUUGUUUUGCAAGUACUAUAUGAAUAAGCAUCGGCUAACUCCGUGCCAGCCGCCG